This 572-nucleotide ribosomal RNA is filed under the name Sousa chinensis (Indo-pacific humpbacked dolphin). RNAcentral describes it as "partial 16S ribosomal RNA". It matches the Rfam family "Bacterial large subunit ribosomal RNA", at positions 1806 to 2612 of the family's 2925-position model. The record is from RNAcentral. Lineage: Eukaryota; Metazoa; Chordata; Mammalia; Artiodactyla; Delphinidae.
AUCAAAAACAUCACCUCUAGCAUAACUAGUAUUAGAGGCACUGCCUGCCCAGUGACAAUCGUUAAACGGCCGCGGUAUCUUGACCGUGCAAAGGUAGCAUAAUCACUUGUUCUCUAAAUAAGGACUUGUAUGAAUGGCCACACGAGGGUUUUACUGUCUCUUACUCCUAAUCAGUGAAAUUGACCUCCCCGUGAAGAGGCGGGGAUAAUACAAUAAGACGAGAAGACCCUAUGGAGCUUUAAUUAAUCAACUCAAAAAGCAUAAAAUAAUACCACCAAGGGAUAACAAAGCUUUAGAUGAGCUGACAAUUUCGGUUGGGGUGACCUCGGAGUAUAAAAAACCCUCCGAGUGAUUAAAACUUAGGCCUACCAGCCAAAGUAUAGUAUCACUUAUUGAUCCAAAAUUUUGAUCAACGGAACAAGUUACCCUAGGGAUAACAGCGCAAUCCUAUUCUAGAGUCCAUAUCGACAAUAGGGUUUACGACCUCGAUGUUGGAUCAGGACAUCCUAAUGGUGCAGCAGCUAUUAAGGGUUCGUUUGUUCAACGAUUAAAGUCCUACGUGAUCUGAGUUC